GACGUAGGGCGCGAGCGUUGUCCGGAUUUAUUGGGCGUAAAGAGCUCGUAGGCGGCUUGUCGCGUCGACUGUGAAAUCCCGCGGCUCAACUGCGGGUCUGCAGUCGAUACGGGCAGGCUAGAGUUCGGUAGGGGAGACUGGAAUUCCUGGUGUAGCGGUGAAAUGCGCAGAUAUCAGGAGGAACACCGUUGGCGAAGGCGGGUCUCUGGGCCGAUACUGACGCUGAGGAGCGAAAGCGUGGGGAGCGAACAGG
Molecule: ribosomal RNA, 253 nt
Filed under: uncultured bacterium
Lineage: Bacteria
Description: partial 16S ribosomal RNA
Rfam family: Bacterial small subunit ribosomal RNA
Source: RNAcentral